GUCACUGGAUUGUCUGGUCCAGAUUCGAUUAUUUACAGACCGCUACCAUAUAGCUGGAAUAUUGCUGAGUGUGGUGUUAAACAAGAAACCAACAAAUCUAUUUGUUAUGAAGUUAAAGCAUGGCUAACCAGUUUCAGUGGCAGGGUGUAUGGUGAUGUCAUUUGAUUGUGAUGUCACAGUGGUCAGCAAAGAUUGUGAUUGAGUUUCAUUGUAGUAAUAUCUCCCAGGCAAUAUUGUCAGGAAUAACUGCUCUUGAAAACAUGUCAGCAUGAUUUGAAAGUUGUCAGAGAAUCAGAAAGGUUAGUUAAUCUUUGUAUUUGAAAAAAUGAUAAUUCUCAUAUUAUUCUAUUCCCACAGACAAAGGCAUUAGUGGAGCUUAAAGAACUGUCACCUGUCAAGUGCAAUUAUUAGCAUAACUUAUGUUUCAAUGCUGCUGGUGUUGAAACUACUGUACAUAUUCUACUAUAUUUCACUAUUUAAUGUACUUGUAUAUUUCAUUUUGUAUUUCCUGUGUGUAUAUAUGGCAAGAAUUGGGGCAUAAUUAUACAGUAGUCACACCCUUCCCUAGAGUCUGUCUUCCUGUUGUUUACUGCUGGUAAAAUAACAGGCAUGAAUUGUAUAACAAUCCCUUGAUCAUCAUAGGCGGAUCUAGAGGGGGGUGCAGGGUGCACACACACCCUUUGUCUUGAAAGUUUAUUAAAUGACCAUUGAAGCUCUCGUGAAAUUGGGUGAAAAUGAACUGAUCACUUGAUCUUUCAAUCACAGGAUUGCUGUAUCAUUCACACGAUUACUGGAUGAUUCAACCAGAGGAUGACUGGAUAAUUCAGUCUCAAGGUCACUGAUGAUUCAAUUGCAGGAUCACUGGAUCAUUCAAUCACAUGACUGCUGUAUCAUUCACAUGAUCACUGGAUGAUUCAGUCACAUGAUCUCUUGACUCAAUCAUGGGUAAAGGUCCCUUGAUAUUUCAAUCAUGAAUCAUGCUAUCACUUGAUUGAAUCAUUAAGUCAUCAAAUGAAAUCAGUCCAUUUUUUGUGUCAUGAGAAUGAAUGUGUGUAUGGGUGUCAGUGUCGGUGUGUCUGUGUGCUGAUUGCUCUGAUUGGACAGAGGGAGGAAACUGCAAUGCCGGGGUCCUGAACACACCAUCUUCACUCCGACUGAGCACCUCUAUAAAGAUAUAUAUAUAUAUAUAUAUAGGAGGCUUCCUCAGGUGAAUCCUUAGCAAA
This is a long non-coding RNA of Haliotis rubra (blacklip abalone), 1223 nucleotides long. RefSeq lists it as uncharacterized. The record is from RefSeq and is a predicted model, not a curated record. NCBI's taxonomy places the organism in Eukaryota, Metazoa, Mollusca, Gastropoda, Lepetellida, Haliotidae. The transcript is spliced from 2 exons.